UACGGAGGGUGCAAGCGUUACUCGGAAUCACUGGGCGUAAAGCGCAUGCAGGCGGUCUAAUAAGUUGGAAGUGAAAUCCUAUGGCUCAACCAUAGAACUGCUUCCAAAACUGUUAGACUAGAGUCUGGGAGGGGAAGAUGGAAUUAGUAGUGUAGGGGUAAAAUCCGUAGAGAUUACUAGGAAUACCAAAAGCGAAGGCGAUCUUCUGGAACAGUACUGACGCUGAGAUGCGAAAGCGUGGGGAGCAAACAGGAUUAGAUACCCUGGUAGUCCACGCAGUAAACGAUGAAUGUUAGUCGUUGGUAUGCUAGACAUAUCAGUGAUGCAGUUAACACAUUAAACAUUCCGCCUGGGGAGUACGGUCGCAAGAUUAAAACUCAAAGGAAUAGACGGGGACCCGCACAAGUGGUGGAGCAUGUGGUUUAAUUCGAAGAUACGCGAAGAACCUUACCUAGCCUUGACAUACUACAGAAUUCGACAGAGAUGUUGAAGUGCCUUCGGGAGCUGUAAUACAGGUGCUGCACGGCUGUCGUCAGCUCGUGUCGUGAGAUGUUGGGUUAAGUCCCGCAACGAGCGCAACCCUCGUCACUAGUUACUAACGGUUAGGCCGAGGACUCUAGUGAGACUGCCUUCGUAAGGAGGAGGAAGGUGAGGACGACGUCAAGUCAUCAUGGCCCUUACGGCUAGGGCAACACACGUGCUACAAUGGUUAGGACAAUGAGAGGCGAUACCGCGAGGUGGAGCAAAUCUAUAAACCUAAUCUCAGUUCGGAUUGUAGUCUGCAACUCGACUACAUGAAGCUGGAAUCACUAGUAAUCGUAGAUCAGCUAUGCUACGGUGAAUACGUUCCCGGGUC
Molecule: ribosomal RNA, 856 nt
Filed under: uncultured bacterium
Lineage: Bacteria
Description: bacterial SSU rRNA
Rfam family: Bacterial small subunit ribosomal RNA
Source: RNAcentral